CACAUUAUUGAGUACAUUGAUGAAGUUUGCGCCUGAAUGGGAAGAAUAAUUUCUCACAUCCAAUGUGUGAUGGCUGCUAUAGUUAUGAGACAAGUUCUUAAACAGACCGUAAAAGAAGGGAAUGCAUCAACGACCUUUUAGCAUGAAUAGUUAGUCUCCCCGGGGAUAAGGAUUGAUCAUAGUAGAGGUAUAUCGUUACUCUGAAAAUAUUUCACAACUCAUUUGUUUUUUUGCAUAAACAUAACUCCAAAUUUCAGAAGAUAUGAGAAGUUUGAUGUUCCAAUGGCCUACACUAUAGAGCAACAAUUAUUUAUGUUGGAAUAGCUUGGUCUGCAAGUUUUUACCACUACCAUUUGUUCUUGACUUCUUUCAUGGGUUUUGGUUAGUAUAUGCAGGGAUUUGUUCUUCGGUUGGUUUACAAGAGGGAACUUUACUAUGAAAAAGGGAAGAAGCUUGGGAAAAAAAGAACAAGAGAAGAUCAUGAUCAGCUAAAAUAGAGUAUACUGGAGGGAGCUACUGAUUCAGAAGAUGCUCAUCACAAAGACUUCCUUUACGCUUGUUAGACAAUAGACACCAAUUUUCUUUUCUUUCAGUUUAAUUUUCUUAUUUGUUUGGUUGUCGGAUCAGAUUAAAAGAUACCACGAACUCUCCUAAAAAAACCGGAGUAUACUUUUCAACUGCAAUAGCAGGAGCAGAUUGAUGAUUGUGAAGCAUGAACCCGAGUAUUGGAAAUAUGUAGAGGAAGGAUAAACCUGAGAGAGACACUACUUUGCCAACCGAGAUAUGCCAGAAACUUGAAGACCAUUUGAGCUAGUGAGAUCAAUUAGAGGACCAGAUUCAUCCAAUCAUUGAUAAGUGCCAGUACCAACCUGAUAAACGAGAUACAGCAACAUCUAUGUCAGCCCACAAAGCACGAUGAGUACUUGAUCAGCCUCUUCCACAUCCAGUUUCACGAACCCGGAAAAUCUGCAUCCCAAAACAAAAUAUCGGUGCAUUCAUGCAUACAUCCAUACAUGCAUUCAUGCAUACAUCCAUACAUGCAUUCAUGCAUACAUCCAUACAUGCAUUCAUGCAUACAUCCAUACAUCCAUACAUGCAUUCAUGCAUACAUCCAUACAUGCAUACAUUUUAUACAUUCAUACAUGCAUACACAUGCAUAUAUAUUUGCUUUCUUGAUUUAUUGAUUAGGUCAUUGCUUGCUACUUUAGUACAUUUGUUAAUAACUUGUUCUUGUUUGUUUCUUGUGCUUAUCUCAGUUUGUAACGUGCUUGCUUGUUUCUUGCACUGAUUGCUUACAUGUUUAACUUGUUCACUUUAUUCCUUCUUUGUUUCAUUGAUUAUUUGAUCGUUGCUUGACUUGUUUGUUUGUUUCCUUCUUGGUUCCUUGAUUUACUUUACUUCAUUGGGCAGCCUUCUUCUUGGAUACUCGCUUACUUAGUUGUUUCAAUCAAUUUCUUUACACACUCGUUUGCUUGUUUCCUGAUCCUCUGGUUUUUCUUUUUCUUUUUUACUUUCGUCGUCACUAUUUCUUACAUGAACUUCUCUACUUGUUUCGUUGUUUGCUUACGAUUUUCAUUUGGUUACUCGCUUUCUUUUGCUUUCUUUACUCCUUCCAUAGUUCCAUUGCUUGCUUAGACGUAAUUGUUUAAGAAAAAAUCUCCACAACAUCCUCUUUGUUCUUGCAAACUCCAUUACUUAAUUCCGUUUAUGCGUAUCUUUUAAAAUAUCUACAACUCUUUAGCGAAAUUUUAUAAUCCACACUAUACAAUUUAAUUCGUUUUAUAUAUGACAUGUUUAGCAAAAAAAAAU
RNAcentral lists this small RNA (1809 nucleotides) under Arabidopsis thaliana (thale cress). RNAcentral's name for it is "putative long intergenic non-coding RNA". Lineage: Eukaryota; Viridiplantae; Streptophyta; Magnoliopsida; Brassicales; Brassicaceae. The record is from RNAcentral.